Cyanistes caeruleus (blue tit) is the source of this 786-nucleotide long non-coding RNA. RefSeq lists it as uncharacterized. The record is from RefSeq and is a predicted model, not a curated record. Lineage: Eukaryota; Metazoa; Chordata; Aves; Passeriformes; Paridae.
GAGGCAGCCAGCAACCCUCUAGGUGCAGAGGAUCGGCUGAAAGUCAGUGGACCACCUCUGAAGUUUCUUUUACCCCCUGGAGGCAGUGAACUCAUCAAAUGGUGCCCGAACAGCAGGGACCUUUGGGACCUUUGGAACAUUUGGGACCUUUGGGACCUUAAAAAGAAGUUAGCCAAGGGAGUUGGUGUCAGGGGACGGGUCCUCUGCAGCAAGGACAGCGAAACACAACAGCUGUGCCGCGUUCCAGGCAACCUUGAAGGAGGGUCCUGGUCGAAAAGCAACAUUGCCAUGCCCAGGCGACCUUAUAGAAGAGUUCUGCCAUAACAUGCUGCUGAAACCUUGUAGGGGCUGCAAUAGCGCGCACUGACGUGUUUGCCGCUGGAGAUCGGGAAAUGGGAAAGCCAGUGUGAGAAGCUACCACGUCAGGACAAAAAUAGCAGCUGCUGGAACAUCAGUGCAACUUCCCUCCAGCCUGCCACAGCAGGGAGCCUCGGCCUGGACCUGGCAGCCUCAGUGACUGUGGAUUUAUUGACAUCCCACCCUUACAAGAUUCCCACGGGAAUUAUUGGACCAGUGAUAAUAAAUGGAAAAGCUAUGGGUGCAAUAGUGUUGGGGCGUUCAUCUGCUAGUCUAAUGGGACUGUUUAUUUUACCUGGAGUAAUUGAUGUGGACUAUUGUUGCCUUUUAAGCAAGGCAAACACCCUGGUUCAAGGAACAGCACGGUGGCCUCCCUUGGCCACUCAGUCCAUUACCCACAGACACCAAUGUGAUGGAUGGCAAAAAUGG